This 380-nucleotide ribosomal RNA is filed under the name uncultured bacterium. RNAcentral's name for it is "partial 16S ribosomal RNA". It matches the Rfam family "Bacterial small subunit ribosomal RNA", at positions 338 to 733 of the family's 1533-position model. The record is from RNAcentral.
CCUACGGGGGGCUGCAGUGGGGAAUAUUGGGCAAUGGGCGCAAGCCUGACCCAGCAACGCCGCGUGAAGGAAGAAGGCUUUCGGGUUGUAAACUUCUUUUGACAGGGAAGAGCAGUAGACGGUACCUGUCGAAUAAGCCAGGCCUAACUACGUGCCAGUAGCAGCGGUAAUACGUAGGUGGCAAGCGCUGUCCGGAAUUACUGGGUGUAAAGGUCGUGUAGUCGGGUUGACAAGUCAGAUGUGAAAUCCCGGGGCUCAAACCCCGGACUGCAUUUGAUACUGUUAGACUUGAGUAUCGGAGAGGCAGGCGGAAUUCCUAGUGUAGCGGUGAAAUGCGUAGAUAUUAGGAGGAACACCAGAGGCGAAGGCGGCCUGCUGGA